CCUAGUAACGGCGAGUGAACAGGCAAGAGCUCAGAUUUGAAAGCCUUUUUGGCAUUGUAUUCUGAAGUCAGUUUCCUGAGUAUCGGUGUUUAAGUCUUCUGGAAAGGAGCGCCAUGGAGGGUGAUAGCCCCGUACGACACCUCACUCAUUGUAGGAUUCUGACGUGGAGUCGAGUUGUUUGGGAAUGCAGCUCAAAAGGGUGGUAUGCUCCAUCUAAAGCUAAAUAUCUGUGAGAGACCGAUAGCGAACAAGUACUGUGAAGGAAAGAKGAAAAGAACUUUGAAAAGAGAGUGAAAAAGUACGUGAAAUUGUUGAAAUGGAAGGAUAUGCCGCUAACAAUGUAGAGCCGUGUUUGGGGGGAAGACAAAAGCUGAAGAAUGUAUCUCUUUUAGGGAAUUAUAACUUCAGUCAAUAUUCCCAUCCGGGCGCGAGGACCUCAGGC
This 442-nucleotide ribosomal RNA is filed under the name Starmerella etchellsii. RNAcentral's name for it is "partial large subunit ribosomal RNA". The record is from RNAcentral. Lineage: Eukaryota; Fungi; Ascomycota; Dipodascomycetes; Dipodascales; Trichomonascaceae.